RNAcentral lists this ribosomal RNA (292 nucleotides) under uncultured bacterium. Its description in RNAcentral is "partial 16S ribosomal RNA". It matches the Rfam family "Bacterial small subunit ribosomal RNA", at positions 505 to 796 of the family's 1533-position model. The record is from RNAcentral.
GUGCCAGCAGCCGCGGUAAGACGGAGGAGGCUAGCGUUGUUCGGAAUUACUGGGCGUAAAGCGCGCGCGGGCGGCCAAGCAAGUCAGGGGUGAAAGCCCGGGGCUCAACCUCGGAACGGCCUUUGCGACUGCUUGGCUUGAGACCGGAAGAGGAGAGUGGAAUUCCCAGUGUAGAGGUGAAAUUCGUAGAUAUUGGGAAGAACACCAGUGGCGAAGGCGGCUCUCUGGUCCGGUACUGACGCUGAGGCGCGAAAGCGUGGGGAGCAAACAGGAUUAGAUACCCUGGUAGUCC